GAUGAACGCUGGCGGCGUGCUUAACACAUGCAAGUCGAACGAUGAAGCCCAGCUUGCUGGGUGGAUUAGUGGCGAACGGGUGAGUAACACGUGAGUAACCUGCCCUUAACUCUGGGAUAAGCCUGGGAAACUGGGUCUAAUACCGGAUAGGAGCGCCUACCGCAUGGUGGGUGUUGGAAAGAUUUAUCGGUUUUGGAUGGACUCGCGGCCUAUCAGCUUGUUGGUGAGGUAAUGGCUCACCAAGGCGACGACGGGUAGCCGGCCUGAGAGGGUGACCGGCCACACUGGGACUGAGACACGGCCCAGACUCCUACGGGAGGCAGCAGUGGGGAAUAUUGCACAAGGGGCGAAAGCCUGAUGCAGCGACGCCGCGUGAGGGAUGACGGCCUUCGGGUUGUAAACCUCUUUCAGUAGGGAAGAAGCGAAAGUGACGGUACCGGCAGAAGAAGCACCGGCUAACUACGU
This 465-nucleotide ribosomal RNA is filed under the name uncultured bacterium. RNAcentral's name for it is "partial 16S ribosomal RNA". It matches the Rfam family "Bacterial small subunit ribosomal RNA", at positions 28 to 506 of the family's 1533-position model. The record is from RNAcentral.